UCGCCUUUAUUCUUCCUUCAUGUUCCGGACAUGAACUUUUUAUUACAAAUAUAUGAACUUUAACAUUUGAAGCCUCAUUUCUGGAAAAAAAUAUAUAUUUUGCCCCUUUUUUUUUGGUAAAAUGAUACUAUAUUUUCAUUUGAUAUUUUGAUGUUAUAUAUACGAGUUUUUCAUUUUAAUGCAUAUGUGUGUCAUAAUAGCUCUCUGUUAAGGACAAAGGAAUAAUACAAAAUCAGUGAACACUGCUUGAAAGAUUUUCCACUCGAACACGAAAAUAAGUUUCUGUAUUAUAUACAGGUUAGAUAACAUUUUUUUUAGGUACUGAAUUUCUUGAUACGUAUAAAAUUCCUGGCCAUGCAAAAACCACAUAUAUAGAAGUGUGCUCUAGGAAAGCAGUAAGUUAUUGGUCAUAUAAACGCUUUAACUCUAUUCCUAUAUAAAGUAAUUUCAUUUGAAUCUUAACUGUAAACGACUUUUAAAGUUGCGCGCAGUUAAUGCGCGCAGCUUUCUUACACAUGUUUAACUAGCAAAGUUUUACCGUUAAAAUACGACUGCUUGUUACAUGAUUGAUAACAGCCUACUAGAGAAAGAAUAUUUAGACAUCAGACAUGUUAAAAAAUAGUAGUAUUACGCAUGAGGCAAAAUAUUUCGUUCGAAAUUAGUUGUUUCCCCUUCCCUAUGUUUCUGGUUUCGAAUUUUAUCAGGGAGGCAUGUGAAGUUUACUUUAAUUUGUUGAGCUACCUUUUUUACAACCAAGGCGGGAUCUAAGACAUGUAAUACAGAUUACUGAUUUGGUAAUUACUGUUUAUAAACAGUUGUUAAUGUAAUAUAUUUGAAACUUUCACUGAAAUAAGUCAAGUCUGUUUUUACCCGGAAGUGAAUCCAAAACAUACUAAGGGAAAUUUAUGAAAUUUAUCUUGUGAACACAGUUGAUUUCAUUAUGCCUGUGUAUUUAAUAUAAAAUGGCCAUUUGGGUUACCACAAAGAUUAUUGAAGGCAGGCAGUUUCUUACUCCAGGUGACCAGGAUUCAUCAAAUUAUUUCAUUGUCCAUGGUAGAUAUUUAGUAUGGAAAAAUACAAUAUACAUGCAGCUGUGAUAAUCAAUAAAUUUGAUGCCACCUUGUAGAAGCCUGCCUAUGUCACAUCAUUUUUUGAAAAGUCCCCUCUUACAGUAGUAGCCACGGUAUUUUAAAUGGAAAUAUGUAGACGUCCUGUAACCUGACGCCUACCCUUCGUUCUAGCCGUCCGGUAACAAGACGCCUAGCCUCUCCGUGAAAGUUUUUCUAGCUGUACGGCGAUCUUUUUAUUUAUGAAUACUGUAAUUAAUAAAUUUAAUGUAUCAUAAUUUGUUUGGCCAAGAUAGAAUAUUCACCUGUAAGGCUUAAUGAAGACAAUAUUUAAAAUAAAUUGAUUACCGGACGCCUAGAAAACCAAAUUGAUUACUGGAAUCCUAGAAAAUCCCUAUAGGAUAGGCGUCCGGUUACCGGUGGGCUAGAACGCUGGCUAGGUGUAUGGUAACCGGACGUCUAGCCACUUCCAUUUAUAAAAUGGUAACUGCUUUUGCUGUGGGUCUCAUUAGUAAUGUCAUUUCUGUCUGGUGACUAUUCUCUUGCCAGUAUUGUUGAUUCAGAAUGUUUUGCAACUGGAUGAUUGUACAUGAGUAGUGGGAAAUAAUGAUAUUUUAUAAAAAUCUUUUCAUUUUUGCAAUAUUUUAGCCUUGCUGUGUGUAAAACAAUUUAUGAUUCUUUAAUUUUAAAAAAUAGAUUCUUAGUAUAAUAACUUUCAAAGUAGUUUGGUAAGUUAAUCAAAUCUUUCACAAUCACAUUAUUAAUCUAGUAUUCAGUUUUUGAUUUUUAGUGAUGUUUACAGUACAUGUAACGUAUCUUCUUUCAGAUAAUAUUCCUUGUUCCUUUGAUGGUUCAUUCCACUGCAGCUGGUUGAUAUACCCUACUACAGCCAGGAAAUUGGUCCUGUUUACUUUAAGAUCUCAAGAAAAUGUAACAUAUUUUAGAUGUGCUGUGAGGGAUCAGGGAGGCAAGUGUGUUUGAUCUUGUUUAUGAAAGCGACUCACUUUGUAAAAGGACAGACAACUUUUGAGCAUGGUACAUCACUACCUGUAUUAGUAUUCCAUUUUGACAAUGCUGCUGGCCAGAAUAGAAAUAACAUCUUGCUGUGGUAUGGUGUGGAGAGUUUCACUGGGUAUCACAGACCAAUUGAAUAUUCAACAAUGAUCGCGGGCCAUGCAGAGUUUGAAUCUGACUGGCACUUUUGAAUUUAGAGAAAUCUAUGGAAGAGGGUGAAUACUGAGACCUUUAAUACAUGAUAUUGCAGACACAGUGUAUCAGUCAUUAAAGAAAGAUCAUAACAUUUCACAGUUGGUCAACAGUGAUUUAAAUCCUGUCACAUUCUACCGGUGGAGAAAUAUCUCAUCACAAUAUUUUAAACUUUUGAAGAACAUAACCAAGUAUUACCACUUUAUCAUGUCUGCAGAAACACCUGGAAUUGUUACUGGUAAAAUUGACAGUCCAGUUAAGACAGUUGACUUACUAAAAUCUACUCCCCCUAACGCAAUGCCAAACGAAUAUUAUUGACAUGGAAUGACACGACAUUUGUACCUGUACACAUCAGAGAAUACUGUUUGUCUGAAAAACCAAAGGAUUCAUUUUGUCCCAAACCACUUGUUCUGAAAAUUGAAAUUGUGAUUGACGAGGAUAUUUCUGAGAAAUGGAAAAAGUGAAGUGAAUGUUAAAGAUAGAAAUUGUUGUUGAAUUGAAACGUUUUAAUACACAACACUUUAGCCUGUUUUGCUGUUCAUAUAGGUGUGUUUACCUGUUAAGGUUAAACAUCAAGUAAAGAUUGUAGUUUCAGUUACCUCCAUAAAAAUAUUGGCUGGAAAGAAAUAUUUACUUUUCACCAGAGCUUGUAGCAGUGCAACCUUCAUCAGUUAAGCUAUUGUGUUAAUUAUUAAAGUAUUU
Molecule: long non-coding RNA, 2975 nt
Organism: Mercenaria mercenaria
Lineage: Eukaryota; Metazoa; Mollusca; Bivalvia; Venerida; Veneridae
Exons: 3
Source: RefSeq, a predicted model, not a curated record